UAUUCGACUACUAAUUAUUCUUCAACUACCUUCUCGUUUUUGUCUUCUUAUUCUUUUGAUUUCUUUUCACCAUCUUCUUUUAUUUUCUCCUCAUUUUCUUCUUAUGCUUCAACUAUCAUCUCCUUAUCUUUUUCUUCUUCUUCUUCUUCUUCUUCUUCAUCUGCUGCUUCAUCUGCUUCUUCUUCUUCUUCAUCUGCUACAUUCUCCUCUUCCAUUUUUUCUUCUUUUUUUUCUUCUUUACUUUUUUUCAUCUGUUGCAGGCAUAUCCAUCACUACGACUGCAAGUUCU
RNAcentral lists this long non-coding RNA (289 nucleotides) under Capsicum annuum. Its description in RNAcentral is "long non-coding RNA (CANN_LNC021930)". The record is from RNAcentral. Lineage: Eukaryota; Viridiplantae; Streptophyta; Magnoliopsida; Solanales; Solanaceae.